AACGAACGCUGGCGGCACGCCUAAUACAUGCAAGUCGAACGAGAAAGUACCUUCGGGUGCGAGUACAGUGGCGCACGGGUGAGUAACACGUAGGUGACCUGCCUAUUGGUUUGGGAUAACAGGGAGAAGUUCCUGCUAAUACCGGAUAAGUAGAUCAAUUUUGGAAAAAGAUCUAGAAAGAUGGCCUCUUUACAAUGCUAUCGCCGCUAGAAGGGCCUGCGGAGCAUUAGCUUGUUGGUGGGGUAAUGGCCUACCAAGGCUUUGAUGUUUAGCCGGUCUGAGAGGAUGGUCGGCCACACUGGAACUGAGACACGGUCCAG
RNAcentral lists this ribosomal RNA (320 nucleotides) under uncultured bacterium. Its description in RNAcentral is "bacterial SSU rRNA". It matches the Rfam family "Bacterial small subunit ribosomal RNA", at positions 29 to 334 of the family's 1533-position model. The record is from RNAcentral.